This is a long non-coding RNA of Brassica rapa (field mustard), 3943 nucleotides long. RefSeq lists it as uncharacterized. Lineage: Eukaryota; Viridiplantae; Streptophyta; Magnoliopsida; Brassicales; Brassicaceae. The record is from RefSeq and is a predicted model, not a curated record.
GUGGAGAUACGAAGUAAUCAAACAUCUUAAAUAUAUUGUUGGCCAAAAUUCAAUACGUUGUAAUUUUAUUGCAUACAUAUUUCUUUGUAGUGCGACAACCGUUAGUAUAAUACCGUUUCACAACGUAAGUAGUUUAGGCUAAAAGUAGUAAUAUUAAUAAAGUUGCUACCUUUUAAAAAGUAGUGUUUAAAUAAUAAAUUAAAAAAUUAUAAAAAGAUUAUACUAUUUGAUCGGCCACAUUAUAACCAGAAAAUAUAAAAAUUACCAAAAUAUGUAAAAUUAUCGACCGUUCGAAACAAAUUUUUUCUUAAAACUAAUUAAAAUAUGGGACAUAAGGAGUAGUAUUCAUCCUAGCACACGCUCGUUUAGACUUUUUUUAGCGUCGGAAACUAAUUUAAGAUUUAUAACUAAUUGUUACUAAAUAAGAGUAAAGGAGACCUACAUUGAUAAACUAAUACUAACAAUGAAUUUUCUAUGUACAUUCAAUUUCCAGUUCUUUGCUAGGUUUUCUUUUAUUUGUGUGGAGCCUUGGCCUUUUUUGAAAAGAAAUAUAUUCGAUAAAUCCCACUAUAAGACCUAACGAUCAUAUAGUAUAUAUAUAUGAUAGAUAUAAACUAAGAUAACCCAGAAUCCAAGUACAAGACAUUAAAAUUUUAACCCUACAUUGUCCAAUCUAUUUGUCGUUUUCACUAGGUUUUGUCUAUGUGUGAGUUGGCAAAGUUGUAUUAUGACAAGCAUUUGCAUUUUUUGAAAAUAUAUAGACAACUCUAUAUGGGGUUAAAUAAAAUUAUUUAUUUUAGUCUGUUAGAAUUAUUACAGAUAUUUGUUCUGAUGUUAUGUGAUAGUUAUCGUGAAAAUAGAUCAUCGAUCCAUUUUUUUCUUUAAAAUAUAAAUCUUUCGAGGAUUAGUUAGUUUGAUUCAAAUAAACAAUACUAAUAAAUGACUCCUAAUAAAUAGAGCUGAAUAUAAACUCUUUGUUUUUAAGUUUUCAUGAUGUCGAUAAGUUUAAGAAAUCCCAACACCUAUAAAGUUUAUUUUGUAAUAUACGUUGACAAAAAAUGUUGUUCGAUUAGUGAAGUGUCUUUAUUUAUUUUUAUUUUAUUUUAAAUAAUGUCGCACACAUUUAAACGAUUUUCCAACGUGCUGUACAUUUAAAUAUAACAUUCUUACAUCAUGGUUAUCUUCAUCAAAACGUACCGCGACCUAACCAAAGAGAAAGAAACAAAACAAAAAGAUUCUAAAUUUGUGGUGAACAAUAUACUGUAUCAUUUUCUGUUCAAGAAUUACUUUCCCAAGCAUCAAGAAUUAGUCAAGGUUUUAUAGUUUGGUCCACGUGACUCGGUUUCUUAAAACUCGAUUUAUGAGACAAUCAUUAAUGUUUAAUGCUUUUCUGGUCGAUUUGACGUUUGAUGGAAAAUGGGUUCUGUGAAUUUCAGAGGAAACAAAAGUAAAAAACAUAAAUACUGUAUAAGAUUACAAAACAUGACAAGAAAGAUUGUGCAGAAUGCAGAUAGAGAAAUAUGAUUCCCAACUUGAGUCCUAUGCCUGCGGUGGUGGAGCUAUACUGUCACAGCUUCAAUAAUGUUAAGUGAAUAGUGUAUGGUGACAUUAUAUGAGAUGAUUGGCCGUCGUAUUAUUUGAACAUACGAUUUGCUUCUAUUUUUUUGUGAUUUGUAUUACGACAAUUUACAGGUAUUAUAAAUUUGAUACAGAAAAUUUGCUAUUUACAACAAAAAGAUAUACGCAAUUGUCACAUUUCCAUUGGUUUAAACUUCAAAGUAGAGACUGAGUUUUACUAUACAUUUUCUUUGUGAUUACUGAAAAGUAUCAUAAAUGAGUCAAGAAUUCAUAUUAAGAAGAAAUAAUUAAAAUGGAUAUACGUACGUCUGGCUAGAUCAAGAUGUGGUACAUAAAAAAAACAUAUAGAUAAUUAGUUUAUUUAGGGGUUUUACAGCCAUUACAUUGCAUAUUUACGGUUGACAGUGUAAUAUAUAUACUACACACCCAAUGGCAAUGACCCAAUUGUCUAAUACUUUGUUCUUUACUCCCUAGAGUUUUGUAUUUGUCUUUUUAGCUCACCUAAUUGUCAUCAAGUUCCAAGUAAAAUAAUGUGGUUUUUAUUAAUAAAGUAUGUAAACUUGAUUUACGCUUAAAGUAAUAGCUUUAAUCAUAUAAAAUGAUAUACUAACAUGUGUGUAAUAAGAUUUCAAAAUGCGUUAAUGAAAACGUAGACGGAGUAAGUCUAUAUAACCAUGCAAAGUAAACUUAAUAAUCGCUGAGUUGUGUUGCAUAUUGAUAAGCUAAAAGAUGAUGAUACUGUUAUUAUCCUUACAAGUAUACAACAACAAACAAAUUAUAAUCAUAUUGUUUCUUAGAACCGUUGAAAUCAUGAAAAUUUGAAAUUAGUUAUGUUCUAUUUGGAUAAAUUUAUCCAUAAUUGUAAAUAGAAUGAUUAUAAACAAGUGAGUGACAAAAAAAUAGAAAGAAAGAAAGAAUGACUAUAACCAUGUCUUGCCGGUCCAUGAAAGUGAAUCGUCGAAGCAACUUGCCAUCAUUUCCUUGUCUAUGUGAUUAUUACACCAGAUAAUGCAUUAAGCUUCAGUGUGUUGUUGAUAACAAAAAAGGAAAAAAAAAACAAAUUGUUCAAAAAGUUGUGGCAUCAAAGAAGAUGGUACCUGGGGCUAUACGAUCAUCGCUAGUCUAUAGCUCAUUCAAAUAAAAUGUGCAAAGAAUUAAAAUAAAUAAUUAGCAUGAUACAUGCGUAAGUAUUUGAGUUUACACUAUCGGUCCCAAACAAGCAAAACUAAGCGUGCUUAGUGCUUACAGCAUUUGAUUCUUUCAUCCUUUUUCUUGCUUUUCAUUUUUUCUUUCCUGUUUUUCCUUUUUAGCUUUUUUUAUCCGGGAAAGUGAUAGAAACCUUGUCUCCUCGUUGAAAUGUGAUACCUUCUUUUUUAUUUAUAUUUCUUUUAACAAAAAAAUAAAAGAACAGAAGAAUCUCAGCCUUUGCUUCAAAAACAAGAAAUUCACCGAUGGAUCCAAAGGCUUGAAACGGUCCCCUUUUCAAAAUAGCAACUAAUCAUAGUGAAAUGAUGACACAUCUCUCUCUUUCUUUCUUUCUUCCACUCUUUUGUCUCAUUUCUUGUAAUAACAUCAAUCAAACCUUGUCUUAUUCUUUUUUCUUGCAACGUCUCUCUCUCGCCUAUCUGUUCCUCCUCGUUCAGUCCUUUUACUUCUCCACACUCUCUGCAUAAAAAAAUCAAAAAGACUUUGCAGAGAUGAUGCUAUCGACAAUGAGAAUGAAGACGGUGCAAGUUUUGAAACAUUUACAUAUGAAUAUCAAGAUUGUGAUCGAUCUACGAGAACAAAAGAAUUCGAUAUAGAACGCGACAAGGCCAGCACUACAUUCGAAUGUUGCUGUGGUCCUGUUUAUCUAUCAAUAGUCAGAAAAGAACAAGGAAUAUGGAAACAGGGCAUCCUUAUUGGGGUCCUGAAAACAAGUCCUAUAUCAAUUUGGGCUUAAAAGAAAAUGAAAAAUGAUGAAAUAGCUAAGAUAUAUGGAUCGAAAGUCCUUUGUUAAGAGAUUUUGUGGGCUGGUCCUUGGGCACAGGUGGCAGCGUUUGAUUGGAGUGAAGAAAUCAGGGCAUCAACUGAACUCAUUCAUCUCACAACUCUCUCCUCUCUCCUGUAUGUCUAUCUGAACGGCGAUACCAAAGGCGAUCGAUACUCUCCGAUCUCUCGUCGCGCUCGUCUCACCACUCUCUCGUCGCGCUCGUCUCACCACUCUUUCUGACCGAUCUAUUCUCCGACCCAAACUUCUCCGCCGAUCUCUAUCAAAAAGAUGACGAUGCAGAUUUAGACGCCCCGUUAGAAGAAUUUUUAAACAACUACAAUCCUUUUCCAGAACCAAAAGAAAGAAAAAAACGUGUUUUUAUCGAAAGGAACC